UCCUAAUACAGGGGGUGAUUCCUGAGAU
RNAcentral lists this non-coding RNA (28 nucleotides) under Rattus norvegicus (Norway rat). The record is from RNAcentral. Lineage: Eukaryota; Metazoa; Chordata; Mammalia; Rodentia; Muridae.